AGGAGAGAAAAUUGAGGUUGCGAUUGUUGUUACCUCGAACAGAUAGUAGAGCAUGAGAUUGAGGGCGGCGUCACCAACGGAACGCUAGGUGAAGGUUGAGGCCGGCCACUACUACGGCUAUUUUGAUGGGCAACUUCCACAGCAAUAUGCAAUGAUCGGUGGAUCGAAAAUGGAUCGAGAAGUGGAGGAUGCGAGCAGGUUCUCUUUCUUUUAUGGAGGAGCAAGAGGAUGAAGAAGCAGGAGCGGGCGGAAAAAAAAGGAGAGAGGGAUUUUUGCCUAAGAUUUUUAUUUUAAAAGUAGAGUUUUUGACGGUGGAGGGAAAGACGAAAAUACGCGAUAUUUCUUAAAAUAUAAGAAAUAAGUCAGAGUAUUUUUUAUGGCCAAAAUAUAAUAUGGGUAUAAAUAUAGAGUUAAAUAUUACUGCUAAAAUUAGCCGUUUUCAAGAUUUUUUUGCAAUUAAUAUGCAUAAAUUUAGAAUUCGUUUGGA
RNAcentral lists this long non-coding RNA (487 nucleotides) under Ananas comosus (pineapple). Its description in RNAcentral is "long non-coding RNA (ACOM_LNC005619)". Lineage: Eukaryota; Viridiplantae; Streptophyta; Magnoliopsida; Poales; Bromeliaceae. The record is from RNAcentral.